This is a non-coding RNA of Danio rerio (zebrafish), 1087 nucleotides long. Lineage: Eukaryota; Metazoa; Chordata; Actinopteri; Cypriniformes; Danionidae. The record is from RefSeq and is a predicted model, not a curated record.
UGGCAACCAAAAUCCAACGUCUGAUGGACGUCAUAGUGGUAACGUCCACACAACAUCAAGCUGUAACACCAUUAGACGUUGAUUUUUGUCCAACACAAAACAAAUGGUUAAAAUAUUCUACUACAAGCUAAAUUUUUGCAUUUGGCUUUGUGUCAGUCUCUCUCUUUUUGUUUUUUUUUGUUUUUGUUUCUGUGUUUACACACAAAUAAAUACUAUUGUAAUUUUUCAUAGAAAUGAUGGUGAUGAUGUUUUUGAACCAAGCUAUAGUAAAUUGUAUUAUACUAUAUGUUAUUUGCAACACUUUAUUAAAAAAUGCUAAAGCAUGCUGUAAGUAUUAAGUACUCGUAAACUGAUGAACUAAUUAAUACUGUAGUAAACUGUAGGUUUUUUUAGCCUAUCAAAUAUAGAUAAUUUACAGCAGUUUAUAAGUAACAAAAAUACACUAUUAUUUCAGAUUUAAUGCCAAGUGAAAACCAGAACUGAUUUUAAUAUUUUAAAGUUCUCAGAAUGGUAUAUAAAACAGUUUAAUAGUAGUUUUGCAAUUGUGCAACUUAUUUUUGUCUAGAAAGUCUUAUGCUACAUUGUGUUGUGACGACCCCUUGUGGUUGUUUGUGGCUGGGGUGUGGGUGUGUGUGUGUUGCAGGUCCAGCUGAUAGCGCCGGGAUUGAGAACACCGGUUUGUGAUUUAGUUGCUCUGCUAUAAAUAGCGUGUCUGUUUCAGACGAGGAGCGAGGAGGCUGUUCGUGGAAUCUGGUAACUUACUUUUCGUCUGGGAUCGAUCUUGGACCGGAGUGGGCUAGCAACAUGACCUUCGAUAAUAAAGAGUGAAGAUGCACUCGCUCUGACAAGAUCUGUUUCCACUGAGAUGCUUCAACAAAACCGCUUCAACCAACUGAAAGAACAAAUUAUGUGGAUUAAAUUUAAUGGCCAUAAAUACAACAUGUAUUUAAGUUCAACUAUAAUUUUACAUAUAUACAAUUACUCUGUUAAUGGUUUUUCAAAUAAUGAAUAGCUGCAACUCAAGUUUUUCAGAAGAACCAAAGUUCUACCAGCUUAAUAAAAAGCACUAAAGGUGUGAGAUGAUGUU